RNAcentral lists this ribosomal RNA (2929 nucleotides) under Acinetobacter baumannii. RNAcentral describes it as "bacterial LSU rRNA". It matches the Rfam family "Bacterial large subunit ribosomal RNA". The record is from RNAcentral. Lineage: Bacteria; Pseudomonadati; Pseudomonadota; Gammaproteobacteria; Moraxellales; Moraxellaceae.
GUUGUAUAGUCAAGUAAUUAAGUGCAUGUGGUGGAUGCCUUGGCAGUCAGAGGCGAUGAAAGACGUGAUAGCCUGCGAAAAGCUCCGGGGAGGCGGCAAAUAUCCUUUGAUCCGGAGAUGUCUGAAUGGGGGAACCCACCUACUUUAAGGUAGGUAUUGCAACAUGAAUACAUAGUGUUGCAAGGCGAACGAGGGGAAGUGAAACAUCUCAGUACCCUUAGGAAAAGAAAUCAAUUGAGAUUCCCUCAGUAGCGGCGAGCGAACGGGGAUCAGCCCAUUAAGUUAUGUGUGUUUUAGUGGAACGCUCUGGGAAGUGCGAACGUAGAGGGUGAUAUUCCCGUACACGAAAGGGCACACAUAAUGAUGACGAGUAGGGCGAGGCACGUGAAACCUUGUCUGAAUAUGGGGGGACCAUCCUCCAAGGCUAAAUACUCCUGACUGACCGAUAGUGAACCAGUACCGUGAGGGAAAGGCGAAAAGAACCCCUGUGAGGGGAGUGAAAUAGAUCCUGAAACCGCAUGCAUACAAGCAGUGGGAGCACCUUCGUGGUGUGACUGCGUACCUUUUGUAUAAUGGGUCAGCGACUUAUAUUCAGUAGCAAGGUUAACCGUAUAGGGGAGCCGUAGAGAAAUCGAGUCUUAAUAGGGCGUUUAGUUGCUGGGUAUAGACCCGAAACCAGGCGAUCUAUCCAUGAGCAGGUUGAAGGUUGGGUAACACUAACUGGAGGACCGAACCCACUGUCGUUGAAAAGCCAGGGGAUGACUUGUGGAUAGGGGUGAAAGGCUAAUCAAGCCUGGUGAUAGCUGGUUCUCCCCGAAAGCUAUUUAGGUAGCGCCUCGGACGAAUACCAUAGGGGGUAGAGCACUGUUUCGGCUAGGGGGUCAUCCCGACUUACCAAACCGAUGCAAACUCCGAAUACCUAUGAGUACUAUCCGGGAGACAGACUGCGGGUGCUAACGUCCGUAGUCAAGAGGAAAACAAUCCAGACCGCCAGCUAAGGCCCCAAAAUCAUAGUUAAGUGGGAAACGAUGUGGGAAGGCAUAGACAGCUAGGAGGUUGGCUUANNNNNNNNNGAAGCAGCCACCCUUUAAAGAAAGCGUAAUAGCUCACUAGUCGAGUCGGCCUGCGCGGAAGAUGUAACGGGGCUAAAACUAUGUGCCGAAGCUGCGGAUUUGACAUUAGUCAAGUGGUAGGGGAGCGUUCUGUAAGCCGAUGAAGGUGUAUUGAGAAGUNNNAUGCUGGAGGUAUCAGAAGUGCGAAUGCUGACGUGAGUAACGACAAAACGGGUGAAAAACCCGUUCGCCGAAAGACCAAGGGUUCCAGUCCAACGUUAAUCGGGGCUGGGUGAGUCGACCCCUAAGGCGAGGCCGAAAGGCGUAGUCGAUGGGAAAAUGGUUAAUAUUCCAUUACUUCUGUGUAAUGCGAUGAGAGGACGGAGAAGGCUAAAUCAGCCUGGCGUUGGUUGUCCAGGUGAAAGGAUGUAGGCAUGUAUCUUAGGCAAAUCCGGGGUACUCUAUGCUGAGAUCUGAUAGCAAGCUGUACUUGUACAGCGAAGUGGUUGAUGCCAUGCUUCCAGGAAAAGUCUCUAAGCUUCAGUUACACAGGAAUCGUACCCGAAACCGACACAGGUGGUCAGGUCGAGUAGACCAAGGCGCUUGAGAGAACUCUGCUGAAGGAACUAGGCAAAAUGGUACCGUAACUUCGGGAGAAGGUACGCUGUUGUUGGUGAUGGAACUCGCUUCCUGAGCUGACGACAGCCGCAGAAACCAGGCCGCUGCAACUGUUUAUUAAAAACAUAGCACUCUGCAAACACGAAAGUGGACGUAUAGGGUGUGAUGCCUGCCCGGUGCUGGAAGGUUAAUUGAUGGGGUUAGCGUAAGCGAAGCUCUUGAUCGAAGCCCCAGUAAACGGCGGCCGUAACUAUAACGGUCCUAAGGUAGCGAAAUUCCUUGUCGGGUAAGUUCCGACCUGCACGAAUGGCAUAAUGAUGGCGGCGCUGUCUCCAGCAGAGGCUCAGUGAAAUCGAAAUCGCUGUGAAGAUGCAGUGUACCCGCGGCUAGACGGAAAGACCCCGUGAACCUUUACUGCAGCUUGACACUGAACUUUGACCUUACUUGUGUAGGAUAGGUGGGAGGCUUUGAAGCUGGAACGCUAGUUCCAGUGGAGCCGUCCUUGAAAUACCACCCUGGUAAUGUUGAGGUUCUAACUCUGUCCCGUGAUCCGGGACGAGGACCGUGUCUGGUGGGUAGUUUGACUGGGGCGGUCUCCUCCUAAAGAGUAACGGAGGAGUACGAAGGUGCGCUCAGCGUGGUCGGAAAUCACGCGUAGAGUAUAAAGGCAAAAGCGCGCUUAACUGCGAGACCCACAAGUCGAGCAGGUACGAAAGUAGGUCUUAGUGAUCCGGUGGUUCUGUAUGGAAGGGCCAUCGCUCAACGGAUAAAAGGUACUCUGGGGAUAACAGGCUGAUACCGCCCAAGAGUUCAUAUCGACGGCGGUGUUUGGCACCUCGAUGUCGGCUCAUCUCAUCCUGGGGCUGAAGCAGGUCCCAAGGGUAUGGCUGUUCGCCAUUUAAAGAGGUACGCGAGCUGGGUUUAGAACGUCGUGAGACAGUUCGGUCCCUAUCUACCGUGGGCGCUGGAAAUUUGAGAGGAUCUGCUCCUAGUACGAGAGGACCAGAGUGGACGAACCUCUGGUGUACCGGUUGUGACGCCAGUCGCAUCGCCGGGUAGCUAUGUUCGGAAGGGAUAACCGCUGAAAGCAUCUAAGCGGGAAGCCUACCUCAAGAUAAGAUUUCCCUAGGACUUUAUGUCCUCUAAAGAGCCGUUCGAGACUAGGACGUUGAUAGGUUGGAUGUGGAAGCAUAGUGAUAUGUGAAGCUGACCAAUACUAAUUGCUCGUGAGGCUUGACUAUACAACACCCAAGCAGUUG